GACGAACCGUGCGAACGUUGUUCGGAAUCACUGGGCUUAAAGGGCGCGUAGGCGGCUCGGCCAGUCCGGGGUGAAAGCCCCCAGCUCAACUGGGGAAGUGCCUUGGAUACUGCCGGGCUCGAGCGAGAUAGGGGUCGUGGGAACUUCCGGUGGAGCGGUGAAAUGCGUUGAUAUCGGAAGGAACGCCGGUGGCGAAAGCGCACGACUGGAUCUCUUCUGACGCCGAGGCGCGAAAGCCAGGGGAGCAAACGGG
Molecule: ribosomal RNA, 253 nt
Filed under: uncultured bacterium
Lineage: Bacteria
Description: partial 16S ribosomal RNA
Rfam family: Bacterial small subunit ribosomal RNA
Source: RNAcentral